AUUGUGUAAACCAAUUUCUCGGCAAGGAGUCAAAAAUGUUCUAAAGAAAUACUCAAAGAAUCGUUUCUGGGGUGUGAGUCAUGCGAAAUCGUUAGCUGCUAGUGUAACGUUUAGCAAACAUUUGAAAAAGCACCACAACGAAAUAUCCUGUGAAAUCUGUUCAUUUUCAUAUAUGUACCCAUCGUUGCUAGCCACGCUUCCUGAGUCCGGAAGUACCAACCUCAAACCGAAUUGACGUAGCGUGAACGGAGACAAUUAACAUGUUUUGCGAUGAUGGUCCGAGCCCGGUAAUUUAUCAUUUCCAGUAUCUUUAGUAACUUGACUCUAAUUCAGGAAUCAAAUGUAUCAUACCAGAUGGAAAACCAACACAGUGCCGUCCUGCUGUCACCGAACGGUUACCAAGAAAUGUCACUCAAAAGUCCGCUUUGGUGUAUGUGAGUAAUCGUCUGUCGGUGAAUCCCAGAGUUAGACAUAUAGAUUCUAUACAUAAAUUGCCAUUUGCCAGUUUCCAUAUAUGUACAAGAAAAAAUACAGUGAUGAAAGUUGAGAAAAAGACAGACAUUCCUUUUUGAUGUUACAUAUUGUAUAUGUAUGACAGUUAGGCUAUCUAUAGCGUAAUAACGAUAAACAUGUGAAGUGUUUGCUAAUUUAGAAAUGGAAGACAUUUUCUGAAAGUGUCAUUUAGAUGUGUUUGAUAGAUACCUGUAGUUUUUAUACAAUACAUAUUGAAAGAAAGCCUUUUAGAAGGCAAAUUUAAUGAAGAGGAUAUGCAUAGAUAUGGAUGUCAGAAAUAUAAAAGAAUAUUUAUUAACUUUCUUGUUAUACCUGUACUAAGGACAAAUGAUCAAAGUAAAAAAUUAUCAUUUAAGAAAUAAAGGGUCAAUAUCAAGGGUGAAUAAUUUGUAUUAAAGGAAGGUCCUGGACCCUUUCCAGGGAAUGAUAACUGCAAAAUAUGAUGGGUUAUUCAAAUCCGCUGUAGAUCCACAGGACAAGAAAUGACAAAACUGUGUGAAUACCGUUGUAUAGGAUUUCAAAACAUUGUUUUUGAGGACAUAGUGGCGCCAUCAUAUAAGAGGUCCAUUUAUUUAUUGUUUGGAAAUGGUGUAUUUGUAAAAUAAUUAAGAAAUUAA
Long non-coding RNA from Ostrea edulis (European flat oyster), 1130 nucleotides. RefSeq lists it as uncharacterized. Lineage: Eukaryota; Metazoa; Mollusca; Bivalvia; Ostreida; Ostreidae. The record is from RefSeq and is a predicted model, not a curated record. The transcript is spliced from 2 exons.